GAGAGAGAGAGUGAGAGAAGGAGAGACAUCCAAGAAAUGGGAGAAAAAAUGUACGUAUACGACUACGUAUGGUUGUUUACGGUCGCUUGGAUUGUAUCUCUCUUUCUCUCGAUUCUUUUUUUU
This 123-nucleotide microRNA precursor is filed under the name Trypanosoma vivax Y486. The record is from RNAcentral. Lineage: Eukaryota; Euglenozoa; Kinetoplastea; Trypanosomatida; Trypanosomatidae.